GAGCAGAAAAACAUCUUUCUGAAUAUAGCAGAAUAGAAAUCUGCUUCAGUCCACUGGAAGAAUCUACUGGAAAUACCUGACUUCUUGGGUCUAAGCACAGAAUGCCAACCCUGCUGAGUUAUUUAGAAGGAGCAAGAAGCAAUUUUUCCCAUCACAAAGUGAAAGCAGAACCUGAAGAUUGGUUCCAUGGUCACGCACACCUAAAGAACACCAACAGAAGGCUUUUCUGUGGAUUUCAAGCUCCCUCUCUCUCUGUCCUCCUCCCUCCCCUUCUAGGAGGCGUCACAAUCGUGCCAGGACAUUAUCAGAAUUGAAUCAGGUGAAGUUCAUUGCUGGGGAGCAAAAAGAAGAAGGUCAGAAGUAAAAUAAAGAUCAUCCUUGUUACUUCAA
Molecule: long non-coding RNA, 390 nt
Organism: Tachyglossus aculeatus (Australian echidna)
Lineage: Eukaryota; Metazoa; Chordata; Mammalia; Monotremata; Tachyglossidae
Exons: 2
Source: RefSeq, a predicted model, not a curated record